GAGUACAGUGGCGCACGGGUGAGUAGCACCUAGGUAACGACCCUUUUGCUGGGGAUAACUAGAGGAAACUCUGGCUAAUACCGAAUGACUCCCCCUUUCUGCGAAAAGGGGGAGAAAGCCGUAAGGCGCGAAAGGAGCGGCCUGGGGCCCAUUAGCUUGUUGGUGGGGUAAUGGCCUACCAAGGCGACGAUGGGUAGCUGGUUUGAGAGGAUGAUCAGCCACACUGGUACUGGAAUACGGACCAG
Molecule: ribosomal RNA, 245 nt
Filed under: uncultured bacterium
Lineage: Bacteria
Description: partial 16S ribosomal RNA
Rfam family: Bacterial small subunit ribosomal RNA
Source: RNAcentral